CAAAAACGGGUGGGCUAUAGCCUUGGGGGGUGGGGCUGGCCAACUUCGUCCGCCGGACUCGGAAUGCCGCGAGACUUUGCGAGGGUCCUCCGUGUGCCAAAAAUAGGCCGCGGGCAAAGCCACGCCCAAAAAUAACCGCCCGAAGGCCGGGGCGCCAAGUUAGUCCAGCGGAAAAAGGCCACAAAAACGGGCGGGCUAUAGCCUUGGGGGGUGGGGCUGGCCAACUUCGUCCGCCGGACUCGGAAUGCCGCGAGACUUUGUGAGGGGCCUCCGUGUACCAAAAAUAGGCCACGGACAAAGCCACGCUCAAAAAUAACCGCCCGAAGGCUGGGGCGCCAAGUUAGUCCAGCGGAAAAAGGCCACAAAAACGGGUGGGCUAUAGCCUUCGGGGGUGGGGCUGGCCAACGUCGUCCGCCGGACUCGGAAUGCCGUGAGACUUUGCGAGGGCCUCCGUGUGCCAAAAAUAGGUGGCGGGCAAAGCCGCGCCCAAAAAUAACCGCCCGAAGGCCAGGGCGCCAAGUUCGUCCAGCGGAAAAAGGCCACAAAAACGGGUGGGCUAUAGCCUUGGGGGGUGGGGCCGGCCAACUUCGUCCGCCGGACUCGGAAUGCCGCGAGACUUUGCGAGGGGCCUCCGUGUGCCAAAAAUAGGCCGCGGGCAAAGCCACGCCAAAAAAUAACCCCCCGAAGGCCGGGGCGCCAAGUUCGUCCAGCGGAAAAAGGCCACAAAAGCGGGUGGGCUAUAGCCUUGGGGGGUGGGGCUGGACAACUUCGUCCGCCGGACUCGGAAUGCCACGAGACUUUGCGAGGGGCUUCCGUGUGCCAAAAAUAAGCCGCGGUCAAAGCCGCGCCCAAAAAUAACCGCCCGAUGGCCGGGGCGCCAAGUUCGUCCAGCGGAAAAAGGCCACAAAAACAGGUGGGCUAUAGCCUUGGGGGGUGGGGCUGGCCUACUUCGUCCGCCGGACUCGGAAUGCCGCGAUACUUUGCGAGGGGCCUCCGUGUACCAAAAAUAGGCCGUGGGCAAAGCCGCGUCCAAAAAUAACAGCCCGAAGGCCGGGGCGCCAAGUUCGUCCAGCGGAAAAAGGUCACAAAAACGGGUGGGCUAUAGCCUUGGGGGGUGGGGCUGGCCAACUUCGUCCGCCGGACUCGGAAUGCCGCGAGACUUUGCGAGGGGCCUCCGUGUGCCAAAAAUAGGCCGCGGGCAAAGCCACGCCCAAAAAUAACCGCCCGAAGGCCGGGGCGCCAAGUUAGUCCAGCGGAAAAAGGCCACAAAAACGGGAGGGCUAUAACCUUGGGGGGUGGGGCUGGCCAACUUCGUCCGCCGGACUCGGAAUGCCGCGAGACUUUUUGAGGGGCCUCCGUGUACCAAAAAUAGGCCGCGGACAAAGCCACGCUCAAAAAUAACCGCCCGAAGGCUGGGGCGCCAAGUUAGUCCAGCGGAAAAAGGCCACAAAAACGGGUGGGCUACAGCCUUGGGGGGUUGGGCUGGCCACUUCGUCCGCCGGACUUGGAUUGCCGCGAGACUUUGCGAGGGGCCUCCGUGUGCCAAAAAUAGGCCGCGGGCACAGCCAUGCCCAAAACUAACCGGCCGAAGGCCGGGGCGCCAAUUUCGUCCAGCGGAAAAAGGCCACAAAAACAGGUGGGUUAUAGCCUUGGGGGGUGGGGCUGGCCAACUUCGUCCGCCGGACUCGGAAUGGCGCGAGACUUUACGAGGCGCCUCCGUGUGCCAAAAAUAGGCCGCGGGCACAGCCGCGCCCAAAAAUAACCGCCCGAGGGCCGGGGCGCCAAGUUCGUCCAACGGAAAAAGGCCACAAAAACAGGUGGGCUAUAGCCUUGGGGGGUGGGGCUGGCCAACAUCGUCCGCCGGACUCGGAAUGCCGCGAUAAUUUGCGAGGGGCCUCCGUGUACCAAAAAUAGGCUACGGGCAAAGCCGCGUCCAAAAAUAACCGCCCGAAGGCCGGGGCGCCAAGUUCGUCCAGCGGAAAAAGGCCACAAAAACGGGUGGGCUAUAGCCUUGGGGGGUGGGGCUGGCCAACUUCGUCCGCCGGACUCGGAAUGCCGCGAGACUUUGCGAGGGGCCUCCGUGUGCCAAAAAUAGUCAGCGGGCAAAGCCGGGUCAAGAAAUAACCCCCCGCAGGCCGGGGCGCCAAGUUCGUCCUGCGGAAAAGGCCACAAAAACGGGUGGGCUAUAGCCUUGGGGGGUGGGGCUCGCCAACUUCGUCCGCCGGACUCGGAAUACAGUGAGACUUUGCGCGGGGCCUCCGUGUGCCAAAAAUAGGGCGCCGGCAAAGCCGCGUCAAGAAAUAACCGCCCGAAGGCCGGGGCGCCUAGUUCUUCCAGCGGAAAAAGGCCACAAAAACGGGUGGGCUAUAGCCUUCUGGGGUGGGGCUGGCCAACUUCGUCCGCCGGACUCGGAAUGCCGCGAGACUUUGCGAGGGGCCUCCGUGUGCCAAAAAUAGGCCGCGGGCAAAGCCACGCCCAAAAAUAACCGCCCGAAGGCCGGGGCGCCAAGUUAGUCCAGCGGAAAAAGGCCACAAAAACGGGCGGGCUAUAGCCUUGGGGGGUGGGGCUGGCCAACUUCGUCCGCCGGACUCGGAAUGCCGCGAGACUUUGCGAGGGGCCUCCGUGUGCCAAAAAUAGGCCGCGGGCAAAGCCACGCCCAAAAAUAACCGCCCGAAGGCCGGGGCGCCAAGUUAGUCCAGCGGAAAAAGGCCACAAAAACGGGUGGGCUAUAGCCUUGGGGGGUGGGGCUGGCCAACUUCGUCCGCCGGACUCCGAAUGCCGCGAGACUUUGCGAGGGGCCUCCGUGUGCCAAAAAUAGGCAACGGGCAAAGCCGGGUCAAGAAAUAACCCCCCGCAGGCCGGGGCGCCAAGUUCGUCCUGCGGAGAAAUGCCACAAAAACGGGUGGGCUAUAGCCUUGGGGGGUGGGGCUCGCCAACUUCGUCCGCCGGACUCGGAAUACAGUGAGACUUUGCGCGGGGCCUCCGUGUGCCAAAAAUAGGGCGCGGGCAAAGCCGCGUCAAGAAAUAACCGCCCGAAGGCCGGGGCGCCUAGUUCUUCCAGCGGAAAAAGGCCACAAAAACGGGUGGGCUAUAGCCUUCUGGGGUGGGGCUGGCCAACUUCGUCCGCCGGACUCGGAAUGCCGCGAGAAUUUGCGAGGGGCCUCCGUGUGCCAAAAAUAGGCGGCGGGCAAAGCCGCGCCCAAAAAUAACCGCCCGAAGGCCAGGGCGCCAAGUUCGUCCAGCGGAAAAAGGCCACAAAAACGGGUGGGCUAUAGCCUUGGGGGGUGGGGCCGGCCAACUUCGUCCGCCGGACUCGGAAUGCCGCGAGACUUUGCGAGGGGCCUCCGUGUGCCAAAAAUAGGCCGCGGGCAAAGCCACGCCAAAAAAUAACCCCCCGAAGGCCGGGGCGCCAAGUUCGUCCAGCGGAAAAAGGCCACAAAAGCGGGUGGGCUAUAGCCUUGGGGGGUGGGGCUGGACAACUUCGUCCGCCGGACUCGGAAUGCCACGAGACUUUGCGAGGGGCUUCCGN
RNAcentral lists this long non-coding RNA (3529 nucleotides) under Citrus x clementina. Its description in RNAcentral is "Citrus clementina (C. clementina) long non-coding RNA (CCLE_LNC000651)". Lineage: Eukaryota; Viridiplantae; Streptophyta; Magnoliopsida; Sapindales; Rutaceae. The record is from RNAcentral.